Molecule: small nuclear RNA, 18 nt
Filed under: Arabidopsis thaliana (thale cress)
Lineage: Eukaryota; Viridiplantae; Streptophyta; Magnoliopsida; Brassicales; Brassicaceae
Description: snRNA_00781
Source: RNAcentral
GGAGAAGCAGGGCACGUG